CCUACGGGUGGCAGCAGUGAGGAAUAUUGGUCAAUGGGCGUAAGCCUGAACCAGCCAAGUCGCGUGAGGGAUGAAGGUUCUAUGGAUCGUAAACCUCUUUUAUAAGGGAAUAAAGUGCGGGACGUGUCCCGUUUUGUAUGUACCUUAUGAAUAAGGAUCGGCUAACUCCGUGCCAGCAGCCGCGGUAAUACGGAGGGUCCGGGCGUUAUCCGGAUUUAUUGGGUUUAAAGGGUGCGUAGGCCGCAUGUGAAGUCAGCUGUGAAAUGUCCGGGCUCAACCCGGGCCUUGCCGCGGGAACUGGGGUGCUUGAGUCCGCGUGAAGCAGGCGGAAUGCGUGGUGUAGCGGUGAAAUGCUUAGAUAUGACGAAGAACCCCGAUUGCGAAGGCAGCUUGCUGCGGCGGAACUGACGCUGAUGCACGAAAGCGUGGGUAUCGAACAGGAUUAGAUACCCGAGUAGUC
This 460-nucleotide ribosomal RNA is filed under the name uncultured bacterium. RNAcentral describes it as "partial 16S ribosomal RNA". It matches the Rfam family "Bacterial small subunit ribosomal RNA", at positions 338 to 795 of the family's 1533-position model. The record is from RNAcentral.